CAGAGAGUAGUUUAAUAAAAUAUUAGUUUUGGGAAUUAAAGAUAAAAGUUUUCUUUUUUCUCUGA
This 65-nucleotide transfer RNA is filed under the name Metanephrops sibogae (Siboga lobster). RNAcentral describes it as "tRNA-Pro". It matches the Rfam family "tRNA". Rfam says of the family: Transfer RNA (tRNA) molecules are approximately 80 nucleotides in length. Their secondary structure includes four short double-helical elements and three loops (D, anti-codon, and T loops). Further hydrogen bonds mediate the characteristic L-shaped molecular structure. tRNAs have two regions of fundamental functional importance: the anti-codon, which is responsible for specific mRNA codon recognition, and the 3' end, to which the tRNAs corresponding amino acid is attached (by aminoacyl-tRNA synthetases). tRNAs cope with the degeneracy of the genetic code in two manners: having more than one tRNA (with a specific anti-codon) for a particular amino acid; and 'wobble' base-pairing, i.e. permitting non-standard base-pairing at the 3rd anti-codon position. Lineage: Eukaryota; Metazoa; Arthropoda; Malacostraca; Decapoda; Nephropidae. The record is from RNAcentral.